RNAcentral lists this transfer RNA (73 nucleotides) under Sphoeroides pachygaster (blunthead puffer). RNAcentral's name for it is "tRNA-Val". It matches the Rfam family "tRNA". Rfam says of the family: Transfer RNA (tRNA) molecules are approximately 80 nucleotides in length. The record is from RNAcentral. Lineage: Eukaryota; Metazoa; Chordata; Actinopteri; Tetraodontiformes; Tetraodontidae.
CAGAGCAUAGCUUAACCUAGGAGAGCACCUCCCUUACACCGAGGAGACAUCCGUGCAAAUCGGAUUGUUCUGA